This 253-nucleotide ribosomal RNA is filed under the name uncultured Lachnospiraceae bacterium. RNAcentral describes it as "partial 16S ribosomal RNA". It matches the Rfam family "Bacterial small subunit ribosomal RNA", at positions 524 to 776 of the family's 1533-position model. Lineage: Bacteria; Bacillati; Bacillota; Clostridia; Lachnospirales; Lachnospiraceae. The record is from RNAcentral.
UACGGAGGAUGCGAGCGUUAUCCGGAUUUACUGGGUGUAAAGGGAGCGUAGACGGCUAAUCAAGUCAGAAGUGAAAACCCAGGGCUCAACUUUGGGACUGCUUUUGAAACUGAGUAGCUAGAGUGCAGGAGAGGUAAGUGGAAUUCCUAGUGUAGCGGUGAAAUGCGUAGAUAUUAGGAGGAACACCAGUGGCGAAGGCGGCUUACUGGACGAUGACUGACGCUGAGGCUCGAAAGCGUGGGGAGCAAACAGG